RNAcentral lists this ribosomal RNA (464 nucleotides) under uncultured bacterium. RNAcentral describes it as "bacterial SSU rRNA". It matches the Rfam family "Bacterial small subunit ribosomal RNA", at positions 10 to 523 of the family's 1533-position model. The record is from RNAcentral.
AGUUUGAUCCUGGCUCAGAACGAACGCUGGCGGCAGGCUUAACACAUGCAAGUCGAACGCCCCGCAAGGGGAGUGGCAGACGGGUGAGUAACGCGUGGGAACAUACCCUUUUCUACGGAAUAGCUCUGGGAAACUGGAAUUAAUACCGUAUACGCCCUACGGGGAAAGAUUUAUCGGGGAAGGAUUGGCCCGCGUUGGAUUAGCUAGUUGGUGGGGUAAAGGCCUACCAAGGCGACGAUCCAUAGCUGGUCUGAGAGGAUGAUCAGCCACAUUGGGACUGAGACACGGCCCAAACUCCUACGGGAGGCAGCAGUGGGGAAUAUUGGACAAUGGGCGCAAGCCUGAUCCAGCCAUGCCGCGUGAGUGAUGAAGGCCUUAGGGUUGUAAAGCUCUUUCACCGAUGAAGAUAAUGACGGUAGUCGGAGAAGAAGCCCCGGCUAACUUCGUGCCAGCAGCCGCGGUAA